UACCAGCACCCCGAGUGGUCGGGACGAUUAUUGGGCCUAAAGCAUCCGUAGCCGGUUUUUCAAGUCCUCCGUUAAAUCCAGCUGCUUAACAGAUGGGCUGCGGAGGAUACUAUAAGACUAGGAGGCAGGAGAGGCAAGCGGUACUCAGUGGGUAGGGGUAAAAUCCGUUGAUCCAUUGAAGACCACCAGUGGCGAAGGCGGCUUGCCAGAAUGCGCUCGACGGUGAGGGAUGAAAGCUGGGGGAGCAAACCGG
Molecule: ribosomal RNA, 253 nt
Filed under: uncultured bacterium
Lineage: Bacteria
Description: partial 16S ribosomal RNA
Rfam family: Archaeal small subunit ribosomal RNA
Source: RNAcentral